UACGGAGGAUGCGAGCGUUAUCCGGAUUUAUUGGGUUUAAAGGGUGCGUAGGCGGGAUGCCAAGUCAGCGGUAAAAAUGCGGUGCUCAACGCCAUCGAGCCGUUGAAACUGGCGUUCUUGAGUGGGCGAGAAGUAUGCGGAAUGCGUGGUGUAGCGGUGAAAUGCAUAGAUAUCACGCAGAACUCCGAUUGCGAAGGCAGCAUACCGGCGCCCUAAUGACGCUGAGGCACGAAAGCGUGGGUAUCGAACAGG
This 252-nucleotide ribosomal RNA is filed under the name uncultured bacterium. RNAcentral's name for it is "partial 16S ribosomal RNA". It matches the Rfam family "Bacterial small subunit ribosomal RNA", at positions 524 to 776 of the family's 1533-position model. The record is from RNAcentral.